GCCAACAUAGCUCAGUAGGUAGAGCGUCGCCAUGGUAAGGCGGAGGUCACCAGUUCGAUCCUGGUUGUUGGCUCCA
This 76-nucleotide transfer RNA is filed under the name Clostridia bacterium. RNAcentral's name for it is "tRNA-Thr". It matches the Rfam family "tRNA". From Rfam's summary of the family: Transfer RNA (tRNA) molecules are approximately 80 nucleotides in length. Their secondary structure includes four short double-helical elements and three loops (D, anti-codon, and T loops). Lineage: Bacteria; Bacillati; Bacillota; Clostridia. RNAcentral also lists the same sequence under 2 other names. The record is from RNAcentral.